RNAcentral lists this ribosomal RNA (639 nucleotides) under uncultured bacterium. RNAcentral describes it as "bacterial SSU rRNA". It matches the Rfam family "Bacterial small subunit ribosomal RNA", at positions 607 to 1244 of the family's 1533-position model. The record is from RNAcentral.
GCUCAACCGAAGAAGUGCAUCGGAAACUGGGAAACUUGAGUGCAGAAGAGGACAGUGGAACUCCAUGUGUAGCGGUGAAAUGCGUAGAUAUAUGGAAGAACACCAGUGGCGAAGGCGGCUGUCUGGUCUGUAACUGACGCUGAGGCUCGAAAGUAUGGGUAGCGAACAGGAUUAGAUACCCUGGUAGUCCAUACCGUAAACGAUGAAUGCUAAGUGUUGGAGGGUUUCCGCCCUUCAGUGCUGCAGCUAACGCAUUAAGCAUUCCGCCUGGGGAGUACGGCCGCAAGGCUGAAACUCAAAGGAAUUGACGGGGGCCCGCACAAGCGGUGGAGCAUGUGGUUUAAUUCGAAGCUACGCGAAGAACCUUACCAGGUCUUGACAUACUAUGCAAAUCUAAGAGAUUAGACGUUCCCUUCGGGGACAUGGAUACAGGUGGUGCAUGGUUGUCGUCAGCUCGUGUCGUGAGAUGUUGGGUUAAGUCCCGCAACGAGCGCAACCCUUAUUAUCAUUUGCCAGCAUUAAGUUUGGGCACUCUGGUGAGACUGCCGGUGACAAACCGGAGGAAGGUGGGGAUGACGUCAAAUCAUCUUGCCCCUUAUGACCUGGUGCUACACACGUGCUACAAUGGAUGGUACAACG